RNAcentral lists this ribosomal RNA (438 nucleotides) under uncultured bacterium. Its description in RNAcentral is "partial 16S ribosomal RNA". It matches the Rfam family "Bacterial small subunit ribosomal RNA", at positions 339 to 795 of the family's 1533-position model. The record is from RNAcentral.
CUACGGGGGGCUGCAGUCGGGAAUAUUCCACAAUGGGCGAAAGCCUGAUGGAGCGACACCGCGUGCAGGACGACGGCCUUCGGGUUGUAAACUGCUUUUAUAGGCUAGAAAUUUUGAUCAACCUAUGAAUAAGUGGCGGCUAAUCACGUGCCAGAAGCCUCGGUAAAGCGUGAGCCACAAGCGUUAUCCGGAAUUACUGGGCGUAAAGCGUCCGCAGCCGGACUCAAAAGUCAGAUGUUAAAACAUGAGGCUCAACUUCAUGUCCGUAUCUGAAACUCUGAGUCUAGAGCAAGUCAGAGACUAGUGGAAUUCCUGGAGUAGGAGUGGAAUCCGUAGAUACCAGGAGGAACACCAAAAGCGAAGGCAGCUAGUUGGGGCUUUGCUGACGGUCAGGGACGAAAGCGUGGGGAGCGAAAAGGAUUAGAUACCCUCGUAGUC